CCCCCUUCCAGUAUCCAGUAGUGGGUAUUCAGUUACUUACUAUUGUGUGUUGGUCCUUUACUGUGAGAAAAUUAGAGUGUUCAAAGCAGGCGUUUGCUUGAAUAGAUUAGCAUGGAAUAAUAAUUGAAGGCUUUCGUGUUCGAUUUGAUUGGUUUGUUCAUGGAAGCAAGGUUAAAAGGAACAGUUGGGGGUAUUCAUAUUCACUAGUUAGAGGUGAAAUUCUCGGAUUUAUGGAAGAUGAACAAGUGCGAAAGCAUUUACCAAGGAUGUUUUCAUUAAUCAAGAACGAAAGCUAGGGGAUCGAAGAGGAUUAGAUACCCUCGUAGUCUUAGCU
RNAcentral lists this ribosomal RNA (334 nucleotides) under Blastocystis sp. subtype 1. RNAcentral describes it as "SSU rRNA". It matches the Rfam family "Eukaryotic small subunit ribosomal RNA", at positions 695 to 1031 of the family's 1831-position model. The record is from RNAcentral. Lineage: Eukaryota; Bigyra; Opalinata; Blastocystidae.